AUAUUGGGCGUAAGCGCGCGCAGGUGGUUUCUUAAGUCUGAUGUGAAAGCCCACGGCAAACCGUGGAGGGUCAUUGGAAACUGGGAGACUUGAGCGCAGAAGAGGAAAGUGGAAUUCCAAGUGUAGCGGUGAAAUGCGUAGAGAUUUGGAGGAACACCAGUGGCGAAGGCGACUUUCUGGUCUGCAACUGACGCUGAGGCGCGAAAGCAUGGGGAGCAAACAGGAUUAGAUACCCUGGUAGUCCAUGCCGUAAACGAUGAGUGCUAAGUGUUAGGGGGUUUCCGCCCCUUAGUGCUGCAGCUAACGCAUUAAGCACUCCGCCUGGGGAGUACGACCGCAAGGUUGAAACUCAAAGGAAUUGACGGGGGCCCGCACAAGCGGUGGAGCAUGUGGUUUAAUUCGAAGCAACGCGAAGAACCUUACCAGGUCUUGACAUCCCGAUGACCGCUCUAGAGAUAGAGUUUUCCCUUCGGGGACAUUGGUGACAGGUGGUGCAUGGUUGUCGUCAGCUCGUGUCGUGAGAUGUUGGGUUAAGUCCCGCAACGAGCGCAACCCUUAAUCUUAGUUGCCAUCAUUUAGUUGGGCACUCUAAGGUGACUGCCGGUGAUAAACCGGAGGAAGGUGGGGAUGACGUCAAAUCAUCAUGCCCCUUAUGACCUGGGCUACACACGUGCUACAAUGGACGGUACAAAGAGUCGCUCACUCGCGAGAGUAUGCUAAUCUCAUAAAACCGUUCUCAGUUCGGAUUGUAGGCUGCAACUCGCCUACAUGAAGCCGGAAUCGCUAGUAAUCGCGGAUCAGCAUGCCGCGG
This 811-nucleotide ribosomal RNA is filed under the name uncultured bacterium. RNAcentral describes it as "bacterial SSU rRNA". It matches the Rfam family "Bacterial small subunit ribosomal RNA", at positions 551 to 1362 of the family's 1533-position model. The record is from RNAcentral.